RNAcentral lists this ribosomal RNA (253 nucleotides) under uncultured bacterium. RNAcentral describes it as "partial 16S ribosomal RNA". It matches the Rfam family "Bacterial small subunit ribosomal RNA", at positions 524 to 776 of the family's 1533-position model. The record is from RNAcentral.
UACGAAGGGGGCUAGCGUUGCUCGGAAUCACUGGGCGUAAAGGGUGCGUAGGCGGGUCUUUAAGUCAGGGGUGAAAUCCUGGAGCUCAACUCCAGAACUGCCUUUGAUACUGAGGAUCUUGAGUUCGGGAGAGGUGAGUGGAACUGCGAGUGUAGAGGUGAAAUUCGUAGAUAUUCGCAAGAACACCAGUGGCUAAGGCGGCUCACUGGCCCGAUACUGACGCUGAGGCACGAAAGCGUGGGGAGCAAACAGG